Molecule: ribosomal RNA, 495 nt
Filed under: uncultured bacterium
Lineage: Bacteria
Description: partial 16S ribosomal RNA
Rfam family: Bacterial small subunit ribosomal RNA
Source: RNAcentral
GACGAACGCUGGCGGCGUGCCUAAUACAUGCAAGUAGAACGCUGAAGGAGGAGCUUGCUUCUCUGGAUGAGUUGCGAACGGGUGAGUAACGCGUAGGUAACCUGCCUGUUAGCGGGGGAUAACUAUUGGAAACGAUAGCUAAUACCGCAUAAUAGCAGUUGUUGCAUGACAACUGUUUGAAAGGUGCAAUUGCACCACUACCAGAUGGACCUGCGUUGUAUUAGCUAGUUGGUGGGGUAACGGCUCACCAAGGCGACGAUACAUAGCCGACCUGAGAGGGUGAUCGGCCACACUGGGACUGAGACACGGCCCAGACUCCUACGGGAGGCAGCAGUAGGGAAUCUUCGGCAAUGGACGGAAGUCUGACCGAGCAACGCCGCGUGAGUGAAGAAGGUUUUCGGAUCGUAAAGCUCUGUUGUAAGAGAAGAACGAGUGUGAGAGUGGAAAGUUCACACUGUGACGGUAUCUUACCAGAAAGGGACGGCUAACUACGUG